This 176-nucleotide non-coding RNA is filed under the name Acidobacteriota bacterium. RNAcentral's name for it is "6S RNA". It matches the Rfam family "6S / SsrS RNA". Rfam says of the family: E. coli 6S RNA was the first non coding RNA to be sequenced, but its function was unknown until recently. It consists of 184 nucleotides that fold into an extended hairpin structure with a large single-stranded internal bulge. The record is from RNAcentral. Lineage: Bacteria; Pseudomonadati; Acidobacteriota.
UCCACCCUGCAAUGUACGUGUAGGCAUGUAUUAUUUGAACCAACACCUAUUUGAAGGGAGCCUGACCUUUGUACGGUGUGUAAGCUUCACCAUGUGAAGCUUCCUAAUGUUCAAGGAGUGGCGCCCACCUGGUCUCCAGGUCCAAAUAAGGUGUCUCACGGCAGAGCGGGGUUUUU